GACGAACGCUGGCGGCGUGCUUAACACAUGCAAGUCGAACGGAAAGGCCCUGCUUUUGUGGGGUGCUCGAGUGGCGAACGGGUGAGUAACACGUGAGUAACCUGCCCUUGACUUUGGGAUAACUUCAGGAAACUGGGGCUAAUACCGGAUAGGAGCUCCUGCUGCAUGGUGGGGGUUGGAAAGUUUCGGCGGUUGGGGAUGGACUCGCGGCUUAUCAGCUUGUUGGUGGGGUAGUGGCUUACCAAGGCUUUGACGGGUAGCCGGCCUGAGAGGGUGACCGGCCACAUUGGGUCUGAGAUACGGUCCAGACUGCUACGGGAGGAAGCAGUGGGAAAUAUUGCACAAUGGGCGGAAGCCUGAUGCAGCAACGCCGCGUGCGGGAUGACGGCCUUCGGGUUGUAAACCGCUUUCGCCUGUGACGAAGCGUGAGUGACGGUAAUGGGUAAAGAAGCACCGGCUAACUACGUG
RNAcentral lists this ribosomal RNA (468 nucleotides) under uncultured bacterium. RNAcentral describes it as "partial 16S ribosomal RNA". It matches the Rfam family "Bacterial small subunit ribosomal RNA", at positions 28 to 507 of the family's 1533-position model. The record is from RNAcentral.